Molecule: non-coding RNA, 107 nt
Organism: Acanthosepion pharaonis
Lineage: Eukaryota; Metazoa; Mollusca; Cephalopoda; Sepiida; Sepiidae
Source: the annotation of a GenBank genome assembly
ACCUCAUCACGUUGAAAUACCGGCUCACGUACGAUCACCGAAUUUAAGCAACGCCGUGCCUGGUCAGUACCGAAAUGGAUGACCGCUUGCAAAUAUCAGGUGCGGUA